UUUAAGUAUAAAUAUGUAAUAAAAUUAGUAUUAGUUAUGUUCUUGAAAUUUAAAGAUUUUGGCGGUAUUUUAGUCUUUUCAGAGGAACCUGUUCUGUAAUCGAUAGUCCACGAUUAAUAUUACUUAUUUUAAUUAGUUUGUAUAUCGUCGUGGUUGAAUAUUUCAUUAGGAUUUAAAUAUUCAAGAUUUAAAAUAAUAAAUUAAAUCAGAUCAAGGUGCAAUUUAUAAAUAAGAAGAGAUGGGUUACAAUAAAAGUAUUUAUACGAAUAAAUUAAUGAAAAAGAUUUUGAAGGUGGAUUUGAAAGUAAUAAAAUUGAUUUAGAU
This 324-nucleotide ribosomal RNA is filed under the name Hydrochus flavipennis. RNAcentral's name for it is "partial 12S ribosomal RNA". The record is from RNAcentral. Lineage: Eukaryota; Metazoa; Arthropoda; Insecta; Coleoptera; Hydrochidae.